UACGGAGGGGGCUAGCGUUGUUCGGAAUUACUGGGCGUAAAGCGCACGUAGGCGGGCUAUCAAGUUGGGGGUGAAAUCCCGGGGCUCAACCCCGGAACUGCCUCCAAAACUGGUAGUCUUGAGGUCGAGAGAGGUGAGUGGAAUUCCGAGUGUAGAGGUGAAAUUCGUAGAUAUUCGGAGGAACACCAGUGGCGAAGGCGGCUCACUGGCUCGAUACUGACGCUGAGGUGCGAAAGCGUGGGGAGCAAAC
RNAcentral lists this ribosomal RNA (250 nucleotides) under uncultured bacterium. RNAcentral's name for it is "partial 16S ribosomal RNA". It matches the Rfam family "Bacterial small subunit ribosomal RNA", at positions 524 to 773 of the family's 1533-position model. The record is from RNAcentral.